AUUGAACGCUGGCGGCAUGCCUUACACAUGCAAGUCGAACGGUAACGGGCCUUCGGGUGCCGACGAGUGGCGAACGGGUGAGUAAUACAUCGGAACGUGCCCGAUCGUGGGGGAUAGCGAGGCGAAAGCUUUGCUAAUACCGCAUACGAUCUACGGAUGAAAGCAGGGGACCGCAAGGCCUUGCGCGGACGGAGCGGCCGAUGGCAGAUUAGGUAGUUGGUGGGAUAAAAGCUUACCAAGCCGACGAUCUGUAGCUGGUCUGAGAGGAUGAUCAGCCACACUGGGACUGAGACACGGCCCAGACUCCUACGGGAGGCAGCAGUGGGGAAUUUUGGACAAUGGGCGCAAGCCUGAUCCAGCCAUGCCGCGUGAAGGAUGAAGGCCUUCGGGUUGUAAACUGCUUUUGUACGGAACGAAAAGCCUUCUUUUAAUACAGGAGGGUCAUGACGGUACCGUAAGAAUAAGCACCGGCUAACUACGUG
This 482-nucleotide ribosomal RNA is filed under the name uncultured bacterium. Its description in RNAcentral is "partial 16S ribosomal RNA". It matches the Rfam family "Bacterial small subunit ribosomal RNA", at positions 30 to 507 of the family's 1533-position model. The record is from RNAcentral.